CUGCAGAUAUGGCCAUUCCGAUUAUGAUUCUAGUCCAUUCUAUUAUAAUUUUCAUUCCAAUUCUAAUUCUAAUUGUGAACCAAAUAAGCCCUGACAUUAGGUAGGGGGAGAGGAGCACAAGGGGUCACAUAGCUCAUUCCCCCAUUGCAUUAGAAAAGAAGACCUACAUAGAUGUAACAGGAAAAAGAUGUGGUCCAUCUUGCAUGU
Molecule: long non-coding RNA, 207 nt
Filed under: Elaeis guineensis (African oil palm)
Lineage: Eukaryota; Viridiplantae; Streptophyta; Magnoliopsida; Arecales; Arecaceae
Description: long non-coding RNA (EGUI_LNC008607)
Source: RNAcentral